RNAcentral lists this ribosomal RNA (503 nucleotides) under uncultured bacterium. Its description in RNAcentral is "partial 16S ribosomal RNA". It matches the Rfam family "Bacterial small subunit ribosomal RNA", at positions 30 to 523 of the family's 1533-position model. The record is from RNAcentral.
AUUGAACGCUGGCGGCAGGCUUAACACAUGCAAGUCGAGCGGGGUGAUGGUGCUUGCACUAUCACUUAGCGGCGGACGGGUGAGUAAUGCUUAGGAAUCUGCCUAUUAGUGGGGGACAACAUCUCGAAAGGGAUGCUAAUACCGCAUACGUCCUACGGGAGAAAGCAGGGGAUCACUUGUGACCUUGCGCUAAUAGAUGAGCCUAAGUCGGAUUAGCUAGUUGGUGGGGUAAAGGCCUACCAAGGCGACGAUGUGUAGCGGGUCUGAGAGGAUGAUCCGCCACACUGGGACUGAGACACGGCCCAGACUACAACGGGAGGCAGCAGUGGGGAAUAUUGGACAAUGGGGGGAACCCUGAUCCAGCCAUGCCGCGUGUGUGAAGAAGGCCUUAUGGUUGUAAAGCACUUUAAGCGAGGAGGAGGCUCUUUUGGUUAAUACCCAAGAUGAGUGGACGUUACUAGCAGAAUAAGCACCGGCUAACUCUGUGCCAGCAGCCGCCGUAA